RNAcentral lists this ribosomal RNA (497 nucleotides) under uncultured bacterium. RNAcentral's name for it is "partial 16S ribosomal RNA". It matches the Rfam family "Bacterial small subunit ribosomal RNA", at positions 28 to 507 of the family's 1533-position model. The record is from RNAcentral.
GAUGAACGCUGGCGGCGUGCCUAAUACAUGCAAGUCGAGCGGACGGACGAGACUCUUGCUUCUUUGUUGUUAGGGGCGGACGUGUGAGUAACGCGUGUAUAACCUACCUAUAAGACUGAUAUAACUUCGGAAAACGGGAGCUAAUAGCGUAUAAUAUUUUGAAGCGCAGGGUUGAAAAGUGAAAUACGGUCUUGCGGUCACUUAUAGAUGCAUCCGCGCUGCAUUAGCUAGUUGGUAAGGUAACGGCUUACCAAGGCAACGAUGCAUAGCCGACCUGCGAGGGUGGUCGGCCACAUGGGAAGGUGACCGCGCACAAGACUACUACGGGACGCAGCAGUAGGGAAUCUUCCGCAACGGGCGAAAAUAUGACGGAGCAACGCCGAGUCAGUGAUGACGGUCUCCGGUUCGUAAAGAUCUGUUAUUAGUGAAGAACAUAUGUGUACUUAACUGUGCACAUCUUGACGGUAAUUAGUAAGAAAGCACCGGCUAACUACGUG